This 69-nucleotide transfer RNA is filed under the name Paroedura homalorhina. RNAcentral describes it as "tRNA-Trp". Lineage: Eukaryota; Metazoa; Chordata; Lepidosauria; Squamata; Gekkonidae. The record is from RNAcentral.
AGAUACUUAGGUUAUUACAUAAACCAAGGACCUUCAAAGUCCAAAAAAGGGGUACACCCCUAAUAUCUG